GACGAACGCUGGCGGCGUGCUUAACACAUGCAAGUCGAGCGGACAGACGCGGCGCUUGUUGGUUUCUCGAGUGGCGAACAGGUGAGUAACACAUGAGGAACCUGCCCCUGACAGUGUGAUAACUUCAGGGAACUCCGGCGAAUAUCGCGGAGAAUCUCCUGCUGCAUGUGGUUGAUUGGAGAGUGUCGGCGGUGGGGGAUGGACUCGAGGCUUAUCAGCUGGUUUGUGUGGUAGUGGCGUACCAGGGGUAUGAGGGGUAGCCGGCAUGAGAGGGUUAACGGGGACAAUGGGCCUGAGAUACGGACCAGACUCGUACGGGCGGCAGCAGUGGGGAAUAUUGCAGAAUGGGGGGACGCCUGAUGCAGCAAUGCCGCGUGCGGGAUGCCGGCCUUCGGGUUGUAAACCGAUUUCGAAUGUGCCGAAGACUGCGUGACGGUAAUGGGUCAAGAAGCCACGGCUAACUACGUG
Molecule: ribosomal RNA, 468 nt
Filed under: uncultured bacterium
Lineage: Bacteria
Description: partial 16S ribosomal RNA
Rfam family: Bacterial small subunit ribosomal RNA
Source: RNAcentral